UCCGAGUUGACCCCGGCAGUCCCCCGAGAGUCCUCAGCAUGACCUGUUAGUAACACGGGGCAAGGGUUGCGCUCGUUGCGGGACUUAACCCAACAUCUCACGACACGAGCUGACGACAACCAUGCACCACCUGUGAACCGGCCCCAAAGGGGAAACCACAUUUCUGCGGCGAUCCGGCCCAUGUCAAGCCUUGGUAAGGUUCUUCGCGUUGCAUCGAAUUAAUCCACAUGCUCCGCCGCUUGUGCGGGCCCCCGUCAAUUCCUUUGAGUUUUAGCCUUGCGGCCGUACUCCCCAGGCGGGGUGCUUAAUGCGUUAGCUUCGGCACGGAACGGGUUGGUAGCCGCCCCACACCUAGCACCCAACGUUUACGGCUGGGACUAC
RNAcentral lists this unclassified non-coding RNA (381 nucleotides) under uncultured Actinomycetes bacterium. RNAcentral's name for it is "uncultured actinobacterium contains 16S-23S intergenic spacer region". Lineage: Bacteria; Bacillati; Actinomycetota; Actinomycetes. The record is from RNAcentral.